GCCGGUCCACCUCCCUCUGCCUCCACCUGAUCAAUUCCUUUUCUGGGACCAUGCCAAUAUCCAGAAUGUCCUGGACAGUACCCCUUGUUACCUCCCGGAAAAUUUUCUCCCCUAAUGUCUUGCCACCAAAAUCCCCGAAAACCAAAACCACUCCUGCUCCACCAAUUCCAAAGGAAAGCCCAGUUGCGUUUGAACCGAAAAGCGGCUCCCAUCUGUGCCCCUUAGCUAUAAGAAUGACCCACCAACCAUGUCAC
Molecule: non-coding RNA, 254 nt
Organism: Pelobates cultripes (western spadefoot toad)
Lineage: Eukaryota; Metazoa; Chordata; Amphibia; Anura; Pelobatidae
Source: the annotation of a GenBank genome assembly